CAGAUAACCAACCAGGAAAUAACUAUGUGUUCUGUGCAUGGCUAAAACCUUUAUCGCAUGACCAAAAAGUAAAAGUAAGGGGAUUUUAAUUGUGUUAGACAUUCAAUACCGUCAUUCUCUGAAACUGCUAAGACGCUUAUAGAAUAAAAUCAAUAUAUAUGUAAUACUAUUGGCUAGCUGAUUAAAAGGUAACAUGGUGAAUGUUAACGAAAUGUACAUUUCUUUUCCAGAAGAAGGGGUUUCAUUUUCUCUGGUCAAAAUGUCAUUGGAGACUGCGGUACUGAGGAAAGCAGUUAGAGAUAUUCGGCCACUUUAAAAAUAGAAAUAUCUGGAUAAAGCUAAAAAUGGAGUUCCGGAUAAGUGAGGCCAGUUCCUGUGUGUUAUUGGCCUAUGAUUCACUAGUAACCAACACACCUUAUACCGGGAAUGAAUAUGCGAUAGUGGAUUUAUUUUGGAAGGUUUUUUUUUUUUUUUUUUUUCAAUUCAGUUUCAAAUUGGGUAUGCAGAAGGAUGGAAAUGUUUUUGAAAAUGUAUUUAAGUUGUUUCUAAAGAAAAGGGAGUGGAAACAUUUUAAUGGUGUCAAAUGCCCUGAACCCUAAGAAUUUCCCGUGAAGACUGAUCAACUUCACUAGAAAUUGUUGGAACAGGUGGGAUUUAAUUAUAAAAUGAUUGAGAAACACCAGUCUCUAUUCAAAGUGUACAAUCACUUUGAAAUUCUAUUAUUUCCUUGGGAAAAUGAUGAAGAGUUGUAAUCUUAAAUUGACUAGUUAUUCAAAUAGGUGUAUUUUUUAUUUAACAUGGAUUCAUAGGAUAAAUUAUCAGUACCCUGGGGUUAUGGUCUUUGGGUAAAUACAAAUGUGCUUUGUUCAUUCUGCAUAUAAAAGGGAAAUAUAUGUUAACAAGGGAUAACAUUUACUCCAAAUGGUUUAUUGGAGUGGGGGUCUCUGCGAGGGUUAUGUUGAUAACUACAUAAUCUGUAACUAGUCUGAGAGAUCGCCAGUAGAAUAAGGGAGUUAUCAUGGAAGGUGACGUCAGAAU
This is a long non-coding RNA of Oncorhynchus tshawytscha (Chinook salmon), 1038 nucleotides long. Lineage: Eukaryota; Metazoa; Chordata; Actinopteri; Salmoniformes; Salmonidae. The record is from Ensembl.